AGGUGACUAUAGCAUCAGGGUUCCACCUCUUCCCAUUCCGAACAGAGAAGUUAAGCCUGAUCACGCCGAUGGUACUGCGUAACAGUGGGAGAGUAGGUAGUCGCC
RNAcentral lists this ribosomal RNA (105 nucleotides) under Bacteroides fragilis str. 1007-1-F #7. The record is from RNAcentral. Lineage: Bacteria; Pseudomonadati; Bacteroidota; Bacteroidia; Bacteroidales; Bacteroidaceae.